AUCAGAUCUGAGCUCAGGAUGUGAAGACAGGGAGUGAGAACAGGAAGUCCCAGGGCCUCCGGAGUGGGGGGCAGGCCCAGUGGGGCAGGGAGGGAGCCAGGGUCAGAGGGCACAGAAACCACCCUUGACCAACUUCACAAGGCAAGGCCCACCCCCCUCACCUUCCCACUUCCUCCUCUCCAGCCUGAGCAAAGAAGGGUUUCCUGCACUUCCACACUUGUUGACUUUUGAAUUUACAAGGUGUGCCAAUUGCCAAGGCCCAGCAUGAUUAUACAACUGGACCCGCCUUAAGAAAGCAUCCUCCUCUCCCCAGUCUCCACCAGCAGGAGGAGGGGGCAGAGGCCCAAGACUGGAUCUCUCAGGUGCUGCAAAAAAAUGUAGAGGGAAAACAAUGGAAAAGAAGAUGGAAGAGAGAAAUCAAAAAGACUUGCUGCAAGGAGGAGGACCCAGGCUGGCCCUGCAGCAAGAGAGAGUCUUGUUUAGACAUAAAGAAGAACUUUCUGCCACUGAGGGACAUUCAGCUCAGAGAAAGAAGGGGAAUCUCCCAAAGUCCUUGGGGCAUUGUGGUAAGGACGUUGGGCUCUUCUGUCUGAGCAACCUUUCCUUAGCCCUACAAUGAGGGGGGAGACUGCAUGAUUCCCACCCUCACCCCACCCCCCCAUCACCAGUUCUAACAGUGUUAUGAUUCUGAGAGUCCACUUGGGGCUGGGGACCCAGGCUGUAUCCCAGCUCCCCCAUCAACCGACUUUGGGAACAGGAGCAAGUUACUUCACUGCUCUGGACCUCGUUCUCCCUACCUUUAAAAUGGGCAUAAUCAUCAAGGGCCAGUGAUGAGAUUGCCUGAGUUGAUGGAUAUGAAAUCCAGAGUCGUGUCUCUGAAGUGCUCUACGUGUGCAAAGUGGUCUCCUUGUCUCUGCCACUUCUCCGCUAUUGCUUCUCUCUCCUUUCUUUCCUCUCCCUCUGCCUGCUGUUGGACCCUUCCUCUUUCUUUACUUCUUCCCAGAGGGGAAGUUAAUGUGUUCCCUACCCCAGCUGGUUAACGGCAUGGAGGUUCGUUGUUGCUCUUUAUUUUUAAAAACUGGUUAGCCAGGCAAGUGGACCCAAAAAGAUAGCGGCGCCAAGGGAAACGCCCCUGGGCGCCAAGUCCCUUCCAGCAGGCUUUUGAGGACCCCGGCCGAUUUCCUGCUGGGAAGACCCCCUCUGGGAUUUCUGGCUGGGUCUCUGUGAGAGAGGGACAGAGAGAAAACCAUAGUUAGAACCUUCUUGGACUGGACCAAAAGGCCUUCAAACCUAAUCACUCCCCCUUUUUAGACAAAUGAUCGACUGUUUCGACAAGACAACCAUUGUGUGGGUGAUCUGAUAGCCUCAUACAAUAGCCAAGGAAGCUACAUGGCUGCUUUUAAAAACUGAACUGAUGUUGUUCUGGCCCCCCACCCCACACCCC
Molecule: long non-coding RNA, 1444 nt
Filed under: Dasypus novemcinctus (nine-banded armadillo)
Lineage: Eukaryota; Metazoa; Chordata; Mammalia; Cingulata; Dasypodidae
Description: lncRNA (ENSDNOG00000052017.1)
Source: RNAcentral